This is a long non-coding RNA of Etheostoma spectabile (orangethroat darter), 95 nucleotides long. RefSeq lists it as uncharacterized. Lineage: Eukaryota; Metazoa; Chordata; Actinopteri; Perciformes; Percidae. The transcript has 3 exons. The record is from RefSeq and is a predicted model, not a curated record.
GAUGCUCUGGAGAACCACUGAAAAUCCAAACAGAAGCGGAUUAAUUUCUUAAACUCUGUCAGACCCACCAGUGAGUCCAUCUUUCUAAAGUCAUG